This 468-nucleotide ribosomal RNA is filed under the name uncultured bacterium. RNAcentral describes it as "partial 16S ribosomal RNA". It matches the Rfam family "Bacterial small subunit ribosomal RNA", at positions 28 to 507 of the family's 1533-position model. The record is from RNAcentral.
GACGAACGCUGGCGGCGUGCUUAACACAUGCAAGUCGAACGGAAAGGCCCUGCUUUUGUGGGGUGCUCGAGUGGCGAACGGGUGAGUAACACGUGAGUAACCUGCCCUUGACUUUGGGAUAACUUCAGGAAACUGGGGCUAAUACCGGAUAGGAGCUCCUGCUGCAUGGUGGGGGUUGGAAAGUUUCGGCGGUUGGGGAUGGACUCGCGGUUUAUCAGCUUGUUGGUGGGGUAGUGGCUUACCAAGGCUUUGACGGGUAGCCGGCCUGAGAGGGUGACCGGCCACAUUGGGACUGAGAUACGGCCCAGACUCCUACGGGAGGCAGCAGUGGGGAAUGUUGCACAAUGGGCGGAAGCCUGAUGCAGCAACGCCGCGUGCGGGAUGACGGCCUUCGGGUUGUAAACCGCUUUCGCCUGUGACGAAGCGUGAGUGACGGUAAUGGGUAAAGAAGCACCGGCUAACUACGUG